This 258-nucleotide long non-coding RNA is filed under the name Homo sapiens (human). Its description in RNAcentral is "HSALNT0237406". Lineage: Eukaryota; Metazoa; Chordata; Mammalia; Primates; Hominidae. The record is from RNAcentral.
GUCCUGCCUUUGCUCCAAGCUCAUGAGGAGUCUAGAUCCAGGCUAGAGUUCAGUGUCAUUAGCACCGGCUGGUUCAAGCCAUGCUUCAUGGGGCUUCUGGAAUUCCGGCAAAACCAGUCCUUUGGAGUGCUACAACGCAUGGCCCGAAGGCACGAGGAGAAGGAAACGACUUGCUGGCCAGGUUUGAAAUGGAAGUAGAAAUCUCAGAACACUUCAUAAAUCUAGGAGGGCUCCCUCAUGCCUUUUGGCAAACCACUG